GAGCCUAGCAGCAAUGACCCUGCUGAAGUUGAAGUUUGGAGCCUGAAGGGACAGGUUAAAGAUGGGUGGUAGCCACUGUCAGACAGGAGAAAAGUCCCUUCUCCAUCUACCUCCUCAAGAAAAGAGCCUACAGCAAAAGGCACCCAGACAAAGUGAAAUUGGCUCCCAUUUCUGGGCCUCUGUGUGUCCGUGUCCGUGUGUAAGCCAGAGGCACUGGAUCUCUGGGACCUGGAGUUACAGGAAGUUGUGAACCAUCUGAUGUGGAUGCUGGGAAUUGAAGUCCUCUGGAACGGCAGGAAGUGCUCACGGCAGCUAGCUGAGCCAUCUACCCAGCACCUCCACCCCGUUGGCCCCAAAGCUGUAUUUUGUUGUGGAUUUUGUGUUUGUGUUUUUUGUGAGACAGUCUCAUAUGUAAUUUUGACUGUUCUAGAAUCUACUAUGCAAAGUA
Myodes glareolus (Bank vole) is the source of this 448-nucleotide long non-coding RNA. RefSeq lists it as uncharacterized. The record is from RefSeq and is a predicted model, not a curated record. Lineage: Eukaryota; Metazoa; Chordata; Mammalia; Rodentia; Cricetidae.